CAGUCACACAUUAGAUACCCGUGUAGUCCCAGCCCUAAACGAUGCGCGUUAGGUGUAUCGGUGACCACGAGUCACCGAGGUGCCGAAGGGAAACCGUGAAACGUGCCGCCUGGGAAGUACGGUCGCAAGGCUGAAACUUAAAGGAAUUGGCGGGGGAGUACCACAACGGGUGGAGCCUGCGGUUUAAUUGGACUCAACGCCGGGAAGCUCACCGGAUAAGACAGCGGAAUGAUUGCCGGGCUGAAGACCCUGCAUGACCAGCUG
This 264-nucleotide ribosomal RNA is filed under the name uncultured archaeon. RNAcentral describes it as "partial 16S ribosomal RNA". It matches the Rfam family "Archaeal small subunit ribosomal RNA", at positions 717 to 982 of the family's 1478-position model. The record is from RNAcentral.